UCAAUCCAAAUCACUCACGCCUGUAUAUAAGCGGAUAACCAUAGUAAUUCUAGAGCUAAUACGUGCAAAGAGUCCUGACCUCUGGAAGGGAUGCAGUUACUAGAUUCAAGGCCAAUGCAAGCUUGCCCAUAUUCUCGGUGAUUCAUGGUAACUUGUCAAAUCACGUGGCCCUCGUGCCGGCAAUGCUUCAAUCAAAUUUUUAUCAACUUUCGAUGGUAGGAUAGAGGCCUAUCAUAGUGGUGAUGGAUAAUAGGGUUUUUGGGGUAAUUGA
Molecule: non-coding RNA, 271 nt
Filed under: Selaginella moellendorffii
Lineage: Eukaryota; Viridiplantae; Streptophyta; Lycopodiopsida; Selaginellales; Selaginellaceae
Description: Eukaryotic small subunit ribosomal RNA
Rfam family: Eukaryotic small subunit ribosomal RNA
Source: Rfam by way of RNAcentral